ACCUGCGGAGGGAUCAUUGUUGGAACGCGCUCCGGCGCACCUCCAGACAACCCUUUGUGAACUUAUACCUAUACUGUUGCCUCGGCGUCAGGCUGGCUCCCCUCGGGGGGUCCCUCACCAUCUCGGUGAGGAGCAGGCCCGCCGGCGGCCAAGUUAACUCUUGUUUUUACACUGAAACUCUGAGAAUAAAACAAAAAUGAAUCAAAACUUUCAACAACGGAUCUCUUGGUUCUGGCAUCGAUGAAGAACGCAGCGAAAUGCGAUAAGUAAUGUGAAUUGCAGAAUUCAGUGAAUCAUCGAAUCUUUGAACGCACAUUGCGCCCUCUGGUAUUCCGGAGGGCAUGCCUGUUCGAGCGUCAUUUCAACCCUCAAGCCUGGCUUGGUGAUGGGACACUGCCUUUGAGAAAAGGCAGGUCCUGAAAUUCAGUGGCGAGCUCGCCAGGACCCCGAGCGCAGUAGUUAAACCCUCGCUUUGGAAGGUCUUGGUGCGGCCCUGCCGUUAAACCCCCAACUUCUGAAAAUUUGACCUCGGAUCAGGUA
This 540-nucleotide ribosomal RNA is filed under the name Diaporthe rudis. RNAcentral's name for it is "eukaryotic LSU rRNA". The stretch from base 206 to 359 matches the Rfam family "5.8S ribosomal RNA". Lineage: Eukaryota; Fungi; Ascomycota; Sordariomycetes; Diaporthales; Diaporthaceae. The record is from RNAcentral.